CCUACGGGUGGCAGCAGUGGGGAAUAUUGGGCAAUGGGCGCAAGCCUGACCCAGCAACGCCGCGUGAAGGAAGAAGGCUUUCGGGUUGUAAACUUCUUUUCUGAGGGACGAAGAAAGUGACGGUACCUGAGGAAUAAGCCACGGCUAACUACGUGCCAGCAGCCGCGGUAAUCCGUAGGUGGCAAGCGUUAUCCGGAUUGAUUGGGUGUAAAGGGCGUGUAGGCGGGAAAGCAAGUCAGAUGUGAAAACUCAGGGCCCAACCCCGAGCCUGCAUUUGAAACUGUUUUUCUUGAGUGCUGGGGAGGCAAUCGGAAUUCGGUGUGUAGCGGUGAAAUGCGUAGAUAUACGGAGGAACACCGGUGGCGAAGGCAGAUUGCUGGACAGUAACUGACGCUGAGGCGCGAAAGCGUGGGGAGCAAACAGGAUUAGAUACCCGUGUAGUC
This 443-nucleotide ribosomal RNA is filed under the name uncultured bacterium. Its description in RNAcentral is "partial 16S ribosomal RNA". It matches the Rfam family "Bacterial small subunit ribosomal RNA", at positions 338 to 795 of the family's 1533-position model. The record is from RNAcentral.